CGGGGAAUGGCGCAGAUGGCAGCGCGCACGGUUUGGGACCGUGAGGUCCCGGGUUCAAAUCCCGGUUCCCCGA
This 73-nucleotide transfer RNA is filed under the name Pseudomonadota bacterium. RNAcentral's name for it is "tRNA-Pro". It matches the Rfam family "tRNA". From Rfam's summary of the family: Transfer RNA (tRNA) molecules are approximately 80 nucleotides in length. Their secondary structure includes four short double-helical elements and three loops (D, anti-codon, and T loops). The record is from RNAcentral. Lineage: Bacteria; Pseudomonadati; Pseudomonadota. RNAcentral also lists the same sequence under 7 other names.